This 28-nucleotide non-coding RNA is filed under the name Homo sapiens (human). Lineage: Eukaryota; Metazoa; Chordata; Mammalia; Primates; Hominidae. The record is from RNAcentral.
UCCCCUUACGUAAAGGAUAGGUGUUGCA